Molecule: long non-coding RNA, 2263 nt
Organism: Mercenaria mercenaria
Lineage: Eukaryota; Metazoa; Mollusca; Bivalvia; Venerida; Veneridae
Exons: 2
Source: RefSeq, a predicted model, not a curated record
AAAAUGCCUCUAAAUGGUUGUGUGAUAGUGGAAACUGUACUGACAGUAUAUGAGUGCGAGACCAAUUUUACCCCUCCCUUCUGUCUCCACAUUUCCUCUUGGUCUGACUGACUGAUAUAGUUUUCCUACAACUUAGGUUAUGUUUAUGACAGUCAGUUGUCCUUAGAUCAGUUUUCCAGGAUUUCAUACCACUAGAACCACAGGAAACUGACAACUUCUCCUCAUGAUGCAGAGGUGGAGGACAAAUUACGUUUGUGAGAUAAUUAAUUAUCUCUAGUCACCAUACUGAGAUAAUGGUUGUGAAAACAUAAAUAUGCUCAUUCUAAAUACCAGUGUAAUUGCAAGUAAUAUGUCAGGAAGGAAAACUUAUGUAAUUCAUUAAAUAUAUACAACUGCUAAUUGCUACAGCUUCCUGUUACGCCAUAAUAUUACAUACUCUACAAAUUUAUAUGUAAAUGCAAAAAAUGCAACAAUAUGAUAUUGAAAACACCCAUACAAUUCAGGAGUGGACCUAAAAUUUUGGUUUAGAGGGGGUGGACAUUGCAAAAGAGUCUAGGGGCAUGCCCAUCUUGAAACUGUUUUGCAAAAACACCUCAUAUUGUGUAUCAGAUGUGUAUCUAACCCCUAAUUUAGCAAUAAUAUUUAACAUUAUAUCAUUUUUUUUCAGUUUGUAAAGUCCUUUACUAAAAUAUUUUACACACAGAAUCUGCACAAGUUUUAUUUUCCAACAGUCAUCCAGGACCUCCACUGCAGCAAUUAUAUAUACUACUGAUAGGGAUUUCUUCUGAAUAAAUGUCAAAAGUAUAGAGUUUAGGCCAUCAAACAUCUAAUUAAGCUGGAAAGACUUUCGGGAGCUAGCAUGGGACCAACCCCAUCUAAAUCUGCCCAUGGAAUUACUGUUCAUUCUGAGGAAAAAUCAGUACCUCAUGAUAAUUCCCUGUAGAUAUAUUAAAGUUUGAUACCUCAGGCUCUUUGAUUUGUUUCAGAAUCCGAUAAAACAGCGAAAAUGUAAUAAAAUACUACAAUCAGUGCCUGAUAAAUACUGAUGAUAGAGUAAUUACUAUACAACACAUGUUACAAUAAUUACAGCUGACAUUUACUGUUAUAUUCUUGAUUCUCUGUGAGUUCCAUUCCUGAGGUGUGUCCGUUAUGAUUGUAAGAUAGUUGUGUUCGUGGAGGUUGAAGGAUAUUCGUGUUCCGAUUUGUGUUUAGGUAUUGAAGGAUAUUUAACGGUUUCAAGAAACAAUAAACAACAGAAUCUGGUGUGAAUAAACAGUUUAAAACACAAUACAUAACAGAAAAUCUUAAUUGAAACAAACUAGCAGAUAAAAAAACUGCAUCAUGGGCCAAGGAGAAGGUCAAGGUGAAGGCAAAGGUCAAGGUGGUGGUUUGUGUCCCGGCAUACUGUGGGCCAUCCUCUGGUUCAUCAUUCUUAUAUUUCUCGGAUGGCCGAUUGCAUUCUUUGUAGCAUGGUGGUACAUAUUUCUGCUUCCAUUCUCAGCGUGUAUUGAGCCCCUUAAAGGGGCUUGUGAGGCCCUGUUGUCGGUUGUUAAACUACCAUUGACAUGCGCAGAAAAUAUGAUAGCAAUGAAACCACUGUGUGGUUAAAAUGUAGACUUUUUUUAAAACGCUCAAAGACAUGGACAAAUGGCUAAUUUAAAUAAUAGUAUAGAACUCACUCUGCAGUGAAAAACAUGGAUUCUAAUGACAAGGAAUAAACAUAAACUUUUAAGAAGAAACUGUGGAAAAAAACAGACCAGCCAACUACAAAUUGACCAAACAUGAAACGAAAGCAUAUGCACUAUAACAAGAGAGACAAUUGGAUUUACCGACAUCUUUGUAUAUUUUUUCAUAAUAAUAGCUUAACCAGUGAAAACUAUAUUUCAAGGAAAGAAACUUUUCAUUUGUUUAUCAAUUACAUUGUAAGUAAAUGUUUUCUACUUGCCAAAGUACACUUACUGAACAGACAUACAUAAGUGAAUCUCCAUAAACUUGUAUUAUAUAUCAUUUAUAUACGUAUUUAUUGAAUGCUAUACAGGCUACUCCUGAAGUCUGGAGGUAGACAAAGAGUUUUAUUAUUCCUGUUAUAAGGAAGAGUAAAAUCUGUUAAUGAACAGUCAUAAAAUCUUUGAACCUUAGAAUCAAGAAGUAAAUUCUUUGCCUCCAAAAUUGUGAAACGUUUUCUUCUAAAAUGUAGUCAAUAUUGCACUGAUAUUCAUAUAUGUUUGUAUUUUAAGUAACAGUAAACAAAGUCAACCACCUA